Molecule: ribosomal RNA, 492 nt
Filed under: uncultured bacterium
Lineage: Bacteria
Description: partial 16S ribosomal RNA
Rfam family: Bacterial small subunit ribosomal RNA
Source: RNAcentral
AGUGAACGCUGGCGGUAGGCCUAACACAUGCAAGUCGAACGGCAGCACAGUAAGAGCUUGCUCUUACGGGUGGCGAGUGGCGGACGGGUGAGGAAUACAUCGGAAUCUACUUUUUCGUGGGGGAUAACGUAGGGAAACUUACGCUAAUACCGCAUACGCCCUACGGGUGAAAGCAGGGGAUCUUCGGACCUUGCGCGAUUGAAUGAGCCGAUGUCGGAUUAGCUAGUUGGCGGGGUAAAGGCCCACCAAGGCGACGAUCCGUAGCUGGUCGGAGAGGAUGAUCAGCCACACUGGAACUGAGACACGGUCCAGACUCCUACGGGAGGCAGCAGUGGGGAAUAUUGGACAGUGGGCGCAAGCCUGAUCCAGCCAUACCGCGUGGGUGAAGAAGGCCUUCGGGUUGUAAAGCCCUUUUGUUGGGAAAGAAAAGCAGCAGGUUAAUACCCCGCUGUUCUGACGGUACCCAAAGAAUAAGCACCGGCUAACUUCGUG